This 336-nucleotide unclassified non-coding RNA is filed under the name soil metagenome. RNAcentral describes it as "partial contains 5.8S ribosomal RNA, internal transcribed spacer 2, and large subunit ribosomal RNA". The stretch from base 1 to 120 matches the Rfam family "5.8S ribosomal RNA", at positions 35 to 154 of the family's 154-position model. The record is from RNAcentral.
GAUGAAGAACGCAGCGAAAUGCGAUAAGUAAUGUGAAUUGCAGAAUUCAGUGAAUCAUCGAAUCUUUGAACGCACAUUGCGCCCGCCAGUAUUCUGGCGGGCAUGCCUGUUCGAGCGUCAUUUCAACCAUCAAGCCCCCGGCUUGUGUUGGGGACCUGCGGCUGCCGCAGGCCCUGAAAACCAGUGGCGGGCUCGCUGUCACACCGAGCGUAGUAGAUUUUCAUCUCGCUCAGGGCGUGCUGCGGGUUCCGGCCGUAAAAAGCCUUAUUUACCCAAGGUUGACCUCGAAUCAGGUAGGAAGACCCGCUGAACUUAAGCAUAUCAAUAAGCGGAGGA